GCGUAACGCGUGGAAAUCUGCCUAAAUACGGAACAACGUCGGGAAACUGACGCUAAUACCGUAUAAUAUCUCUGGAUCAAAGAUUUAUCGCCUAAGGAUUGGCCCGCGUUAGAUUAGGUAGUUGGUGGGGUAAUGGCCUACCAAGCCGACGAUCUAUAGGGGGUCUGAGAGGAUGAUCCCCCACACUGGAACUGAGACACGGUCCAGACUCCUACGGGAGGCAGCAGUAAGGAAUAUUGGACAAUGGGCGAAACCUGGAUCCAGCCAUGCCGCGUGAGUGAUGAAGGCCUUAGGGUUGUAA
RNAcentral lists this ribosomal RNA (301 nucleotides) under uncultured Sphingomonas sp. Its description in RNAcentral is "bacterial SSU rRNA". It matches the Rfam family "Bacterial small subunit ribosomal RNA", at positions 108 to 428 of the family's 1533-position model. Lineage: Bacteria; Pseudomonadati; Pseudomonadota; Alphaproteobacteria; Sphingomonadales; Sphingomonadaceae. The record is from RNAcentral.